GAUGAACGCUGACAGAAUGCUUAACACAUGCAAGUCAACUUGAACUUCGGUUUGGGUGGCGGACGGGUGAGUAACGCGUAAAGAACUUGCCCCACAGAUAGGGACAACAUUUGGAAACGAAUGCUAAUACCUGAUAUUAUGAUUUUAGGGCAUCCUAGGAUUAUGACAGCUAUAUGCGCUGUGAGAGAGGUUUGCGUCCCAUUAGCUAGUUGGAGAGGUAACGGCUCACCAAGGCGAUGAUGGGUAGCCGGCCUGAGAGGGUGAACGGCCACAAGGGGACUGAGACACGGCCCUUACGCCUACGGGAGGAAGGAGUGGAGAAUAUUGGACAAAGGACCAAGAGUCUGAUCCAGCAAUUCGGUGUGCAAGAUGAAGUUUUUCGGAAUGUAAAGUGCUUUCAGUUGGGAAGAAAAAAAUGACGGUACCAACAGAAGAAGUGACGGCUAAAUACGUG
This 454-nucleotide ribosomal RNA is filed under the name uncultured bacterium. RNAcentral describes it as "partial 16S ribosomal RNA". It matches the Rfam family "Bacterial small subunit ribosomal RNA", at positions 28 to 507 of the family's 1533-position model. The record is from RNAcentral.